GAUGAAGAACGUAGCGAAAUGUGAUACUUGGUGUGAAUUGCAGAAUCCCGUGAACCAUCGAGUCUUUGAACGCAAGUUGCGCCCGAAGCCAUUAGGCCGAGGGCACGCCUGCCUGGGCGUCACACGUCGUUGCCCCCCCAUCUACUCCUUCGGGAUUGCGGGGGGCGGAUGAUGGCCUCCCGUGCGCCUCGCCGCGCGGUUGGCAUAAAUGCCAAGUCCUCGGCGACGCACGCCACGACAAUCGGUGGUUGCGAAACCUCGGUUGCCCGUCGUGUGCGGUCGUCGCGCAUCGAGGGCUCGAAAAAAUUGCCGGGUUCCGGCUCGGAUUUCAACGCGACCCCAGGUCAGGCGGGGUUACCCGCUGAAUUUAAGCAUAUCAAUAAGCGGAGGA
This 391-nucleotide unclassified non-coding RNA is filed under the name soil metagenome. RNAcentral describes it as "partial contains 5.8S ribosomal RNA, internal transcribed spacer 2, and large subunit ribosomal RNA". The stretch from base 1 to 122 matches the Rfam family "5.8S ribosomal RNA", at positions 35 to 154 of the family's 154-position model. The record is from RNAcentral.